Molecule: transfer RNA, 70 nt
Filed under: Cynoglossus itinus
Lineage: Eukaryota; Metazoa; Chordata; Actinopteri; Pleuronectiformes; Cynoglossidae
Description: tRNA-Trp
Rfam family: tRNA
About the family: Transfer RNA (tRNA) molecules are approximately 80 nucleotides in length. Their secondary structure includes four short double-helical elements and three loops (D, anti-codon, and T loops).
Source: RNAcentral
AGAGACUUAGGAUAAUUAAGACCAAGGGCCUUCAAAGCCCUCAGUAAGGGUGGAAAUCCCUUAGUCCCUG